Molecule: transfer RNA, 64 nt
Filed under: Atkinsoniella thaloidea
Lineage: Eukaryota; Metazoa; Arthropoda; Insecta; Hemiptera; Cicadellidae
Description: tRNA-Val
Source: RNAcentral
CAGAUUAUAGCUUAUAUUAAAGUUUAUUAUUUACAUUAAUAAGAAAAUUAUUAAUUUUAUCUGA